This 296-nucleotide unclassified non-coding RNA is filed under the name uncultured Bryobacterales bacterium. RNAcentral's name for it is "contains 16S-23S intergenic spacer region". It matches the Rfam family "Bacterial small subunit ribosomal RNA", at positions 910 to 1201 of the family's 1533-position model. The record is from RNAcentral. Lineage: Bacteria; Pseudomonadati; Acidobacteriota; Terriglobia; Bryobacterales.
UCCCCGUUGACGGGGGCCCGCACAAGCGGUGGAGCAUGUGGUUCAAUUCGACGCAACGCGAAGAACCUUACCUGGGCUCGAACGGCUCACGAAAAGCUGUGGAAACACGGUUUUCCCGCAAGGGACGGGAGUCGAGGUGCUGCAUGGCUGUCGUCAGCUCGUGUCGUGAGAUGUUGGGUUAAGUCCCGCAACGAGCGCAACCCUUGUCCUGUGUUACCAUCAUUCAGUUGGGAACUCGCAGGAGACCGCCAGCGAUAAGCUGGAGGAAGGUGGGGAUGACGUCGCGGCAUUAGCCA